GACGAACGCUGGCGGCGUGCUUAACACAUGCAAGUCGAACGGAAAGGCCCUGCUUUUGUGGGGUGCUCGAGUGGCGAACGGGUGAGUAACACGUGAGUAACCUGCCCUUGACUUUGGGAUAACUUCAGGAAACUGGGGCUAAUACCGGAUAGGAGCUCCUGCUGCAUGGUGGGGGUUGGAAAGUUUCGGCGGUUGGGGAUGGACUCGCGGCUUAUCAGCUUGUUGGUGGGGUAGUGGCUUACCAAGGCUUUGACGGGUAGCCGGCCUGAGAGGGUGACCGGCCACAUUGGGACUGAGAUACGGCCCAGACCCCUACGGGAGGCAGCAGUGGGGAAUAUUGCACAUUGGGCGGAAGCCUGAUGCAGCAACGCCGCGUGCGGGAUGACGGCCUUCGGGUUGUAAACCGCUUUCGCCUGUGACGAAGCGUGAGUGACGGUAAUGGGUAAAGAAGCACCGGCUAACUACGUG
Molecule: ribosomal RNA, 468 nt
Filed under: uncultured bacterium
Lineage: Bacteria
Description: partial 16S ribosomal RNA
Rfam family: Bacterial small subunit ribosomal RNA
Source: RNAcentral